This 208-nucleotide unclassified non-coding RNA is filed under the name soil metagenome. RNAcentral describes it as "partial contains 5.8S ribosomal RNA, internal transcribed spacer 2, and large subunit ribosomal RNA". The record is from RNAcentral.
AACCAUUCUCACCUGCGGCUAGACCUGCGGAAGGAUCAUUAUCGAGUAUGACCCUCUAUUAGAGGGUGCCUCCCGUCCUUGCAGACCCCUAGGGGCUUUUGACUUUGCUUCGGCGGCACCCCCGCCGGAACAACCCCAAGAAAAUCUCGAUAAAACUGUUCAGUCCGAGGGCUUGCGAAUAAUAAUGAAAACUUUCAACAACGGAUCU